GACUCUUAGAGGUGGAUCACUCGGCUCCUGCAUUGCUGAAGAGUGCAGCUAGCUGCGAGAAUUAAUAUGAAUUGGAGGACAUUGAUCCUUAACACCGGAACACACUUGCAGCCCAGGGUUCCUCCAGGGGCUAUGCCUGCCUGAGCAUAG
Cricetulus griseus (Chinese hamster) is the source of this 150-nucleotide ribosomal RNA. It matches the Rfam family "5.8S ribosomal RNA". From Rfam's summary of the family: 5.8S ribosomal RNA (5.8S rRNA) is a component of the large subunit of the eukaryotic ribosome. It is transcribed by RNA polymerase I as part of the 45S precursor that also contains 18S and 28S rRNA. Functionally, it is thought that 5.8S rRNA may be involved in ribosome translocation. The record is from Ensembl. Lineage: Eukaryota; Metazoa; Chordata; Mammalia; Rodentia; Cricetidae.